This 399-nucleotide ribosomal RNA is filed under the name Enterobacter cloacae. RNAcentral's name for it is "bacterial SSU rRNA". It matches the Rfam family "Bacterial small subunit ribosomal RNA", at positions 39 to 432 of the family's 1533-position model. Lineage: Bacteria; Pseudomonadati; Pseudomonadota; Gammaproteobacteria; Enterobacterales; Enterobacteriaceae. The record is from RNAcentral.
GGGAUGUGCGGCAGCCUACCAUGCAAGUCGAACGGUAGCACAGAGAGCUUGCUCUCGGGUGACGAGUGGCGGACGGGUGAGUAAUGUCUGGGAAACUGCCUGAUGGAGGGGGAUAACUACUGGAAACGGUAGCUAAUACCGCAUAAUGUCGCAAGACCAAAGAGGGGGACCUUCGGGCCUCUUGCCAUCAGAUGUGCCCAGAUGGGAUUAGCUAGUAGGUGGGGUAACGGCUCACCUAGGCGACGAUCCCUAGCUGGUCUGAGAGGAUGACCAGCCACACUGGAACUGAGACACGGUCCAGACUCCUACGGGAGGCAGCAGUGGGGAAUAUUGCACAAUGGGCGCAAGCCUGAUGCAGCCAUGCCGCGUGUAUGAAGAAGGCCUUCGGGUUGUAAAGUA